AGCCUUAGGCAGACACUUAACUGAGCCACCCAGGCACCCCAAUAUUUAAGUAUUUUAAUAGAAAAGUUGCAUAAGGCUUACAAAAAGAAAAAAAAAAAUUCUCAUCCUUUCAUGAAUAAGCUACAACCAAUUCUGAGAAGUUCAGAAGGAAGGCACUUUUUUACCCAGGCUUCUGAAGGGAUUUAAAUUGGUAAAGGUCUUAAGUAAAGGAUAUUAUAAGGUGAAAUGUAUUUAAGAAAAUGUCUGCUAUGGACAAAUGCCUUCUUUCAAUGAAGGCCAGGUAGCCUUGGCCAGUCUUCUCUCUUUCACGAGCAUUUGAUGAUCCCUCCCCAAGAAGCAGAGAACAGGGGGUGCAGACCAGUCAGUGGGCCUCCUAUUAGCACUUUGGGCCAGUGUUUGUCUGUUGCAAGUCUUUUCCAUCAUUUCUUUUGCCUGCAUCACCAUGGUUGUCUGGGCUUCUAGAUUGUUCUCACUGCAGUCAGCAUGACCCUCUCAAAAUGUUUCAGUGGUUUUGCAUCUCAUUUAGAAUAAAAUCCAGAGUCCUUGUCGUGGCCAACGAGGUUCCAUCUGUGCUUGUCCCCUGACACCAUCUGAGCUCAUCCCCCUGGCUCCUUCCCUCCAUCCUGGCUUCCUGUCUGCUGGAAGGAACCCCAGCCAGGCCUCUGAGGCUUGGCUCUAUACUGUUUUCUCUGCUUAAAAAGAUCUAACCUGAGAUUUCCAGAUGUCUGCUCACAAGUCCCCUUAGCAAAGGCUCCUUUCUUGAGCACUUGCUCUAAAUCAGCUCCACAUACUUUGUCAUUCUCCACCUCUGUAUCUGCCAUUCUCUCCUUCCAGUACUUAACACCUGACAUGUUUUGUAUCUACAUAUUUAUGGUCUACUCACUACUUCGUAAGCACCACUUUCCCUGCUGUAGUCACUUAUUUCACCUAUUUUGUGUGCUGGGGUUUCCCCUCAGUCCUCAGAACGAUGCCUGGCCUCCAACAAGCACUCAAAAAAGGAUUGAAUGAAUGAAUGGGCACGGAUGGCCCCUGAAUUGCAGUCGGUGAGGGGGCAAAGCAUUUCUUUAUAAGUCUGCAGACAGAUCAGAGCAGAAGCUUAAGCUCCGGUGCACAAAUACAGACCUAGAAGGGGUACGGGAGCUGGAGAGGACAUGGGUGCCCCAGCAGUGGGAGGUGCACAGCAGUUGGCCAAAUCAGGUGAGGAAAUGUUGAGUGAGUAUUUAAUAAUCCAGGGGAAUUCACACACUUUUAAAACUUUCCUGCUUUCCAACCCAAUCUAAUCAGCCAGAGUGUUGUGACCAGCUCUUGGUACAAAGGGAGGUCAGGACUCCAAAGAAAAAUAAAACCAGUGGUGGUGAUUGCUAGAAUUUCCAAGUUUCCAAAUAAACAGGAUUCUGGGAAAUGUCCUCACUUAAUUCAGGGCAAAGAGCGUUUAGGGUUUGUGACCCCGCCUCAGUAUUUUUCUUUCUUUUUUCAGUAUCUCUCCUUACGUGUUUGUCCUGAAGAAAAUCCACACACAUUCUAGUGUAAGUGUGUGGUGUGAUAAGCUCUGCGAAACAAGGGCUUUUCUCUGCCUUAUCUUCACUGAAAAGAUGUGAACAAAGGGUGAUUAUUCUGGAGUGCUGCCUCUCCCUCAGGAUAGCACUUCAGCAGCACUCCUUCCCUCCUUGGACUGAUGGCUGCCACCACCCCCAGGAAGACUCCUGUUUCACUUUUUGAAAACAGGUCAAGGUGGAGAUUGCCGAUACCUCUUUCCCCCAACACCUUACCUCUGACUUCAGUUUCUACCAUUCUUUUUCCUUACCCAAUCAACCACAUUGGUUUUCUGCUGUUUCCCCAGUAUCCCAGAUUUUUUUCCUUGAAUUAGAAAUAUUUCUUAUUAAAAUAGGGUCUUCUCAUGAGGAUAGAAUGUGCAAGAGAGGCUUGCUGGGUUUUCUCAUCCCAGCAGGCUGUGGCUGACCAUUCAAAACUUUUCUCCCUAUGUAGGAGGGAAAGUUCUCCACCUACUCCUGGGAAAUAAGACUACUCUAAUUUUACUUUUGAUUAUUUGCAUGCAUUAAGAAAAAAAUAAAAAUAAAACUAUUAACAGUCUAUCUGUCCCUGGUCACAUAUGCCCAGUCCAGUUGUGGGCCUCAAGUCCCCAUCUCUGUGUGCUGGCCAGGAUUAAAUGGUACCCUAGAAAUAAGGUGUUCCUGGCUAGGGAUAAAAGAAGGCUCUAGCUCCCAGUCAUCUGGUUGAAAACAUGCAUAGUGCCUUCAAUGAGAAUUUGAGAUUCCCUCUUUAACAAGGAAUACUCUGGGUAUAGGAGGGCAGCCCCCUGGCCAUAGGUGGUAUCUGGUCUAGAAGCUACUUACUCCAUUUCCUAAUCCUCUUUGAGAUUCCUUAAGCUGACAAGAAUGAAUGCAAAUUCCAGAAUGACACACCAACCUUUACAAGGUUGAAGAAGUCAUUAAGGCAACAGUCUCCCCAACUUCGUGCACAGAACUCUGACCCCACCAUCCCCCUCAUUUUACCCUUCAGGACCACCUAUUCCUGCCUACCACUUCUCCUCAGUGGCAGCUUCCAGCAUGCAGAAGCCCUGAGCAGCCUUCACCCUCACAAGUCAGGAAUGGCCUGAUUAAGGAACUUUAUACAUACUUCAAGUCCAAGGUCCUACCUCAACCUCUUUGCACUUGCUUUUCCGUUUGCCAUAGAAAGCUCUUCCCCAUCCCAUAUUCUCAAGUCUUGCUCCUUCCUGAAAAUGUGACAUCCUAGGUUUCCUUUCUAUGAUCAUCCCACCUAAAUUUCCAUGCCCUUCCAAUUUGCUCUCUCUCUCCUUAUCUCCUCCCUGGUUUGGUUUUCUUCUUACAGCUGUCACCAUGUAACAUACUAUAUAUCUUUCUUUUUUAAUUUGACUUAUUGUCCCCUUUUCUCCCACUAAAAAGUAUGCUUCAGCAGAGAGAGAUUUUUGUUUUGCUUACUGAUCUACCCUUAGUGUGUAAGACAAUGCUUGAAGUAUGCACAAUAGAUCCUCAAUGAACAUUUGUUGAAUGCAUGGACUUUUUCCAGCUGCAGGAGAGCAGGGAUCCCAGGAAGGUUGUUUAACCUCUACAUCAGAAGUGAGAUAGCACAGGCUCCUGUUUGCUCACUCGUCAUACAGAUGCUUAGAAGAGCUAAAGCUAAACUUCUCAACCCUAGCUGAGUGUCAGAAUCCCCUGAGGAGCUUGAUAGAGACUCAGCUGCCCCAGCGACUCUGUGACUUCAGUGGUAACAAGCCACAUAUGGAUCAUCUCCCCUGAAAAAGAUCUACAAAAAUAGAUGAACUGCUGUCUACAACAGAGGAUAGAAGGACUACAUCAAGAUGGAGUCCAUUUCCACCAUAGAAAGCCGAGGACAGUAUGCAGGAUGAGUCUGAAGCAAGUUCAAAUGAAGAAUCUACAAGUGAAGCAAGAUAACAGGUGGGAUUUCUGCUUAUUUGGGGACACUAAUUCCAGCCCCAAGCCUCACUGGGUCAGAUUCUGAAAAACUGGCAUUGUCGAAUAUGCCUAGAAGUCAGGGAGACUGGCCUGGAGCAGGAAUUUGUAAUUUUGGAAACUAGCCCACACAGCACUAAUUCAGACACAGCCCGUGACUUUACUAAUGUCAAUUGGUAAAGGUUGCUGUUGGACGUUAACAUCCAUUUUGUACCAUGUGGAUUUGGGCUAUUAUUUAUUUUUAAUCAUAAAAAAGAACUAAUUUAUACAAGUACAGUUUAAUUCAUUCACCAAAUACCACUUAUUGAGUGCCCGUUAUGUUCUACAUUCUGGAAGAUCCACAGAUGAACAAGACAGACAUGAUCUCUGUACUCAGAAAACGUACUUCCUGUAGAGAGAUGGUCAAUUAAACAAAAUGCUUU
This is a long non-coding RNA of Lutra lutra (Eurasian river otter), 3874 nucleotides long. RefSeq lists it as uncharacterized. Lineage: Eukaryota; Metazoa; Chordata; Mammalia; Carnivora; Mustelidae. The transcript is spliced from 3 exons. The record is from RefSeq and is a predicted model, not a curated record.